CCACUAUAUUUUCUGCCUAUUGGCCUGGAGUUUUCCGGGAGAAACAGUGCUACAGGAGAUGCUGAAAGGGUUGGGCCCAGAUCUCAAGGCCAAAGAGGACUUCAGGACUCUACUGAAACAGCAAGAGCAUCACAUGAAUCUCCUAAAGGAAGAACUGGCUCAUUUAUAUUCAGAGAUCAGCCUCAUGAAGCAGGUGAUACUGUCUUUUGUGAAAGUAAUUUUAUUUUUUAGUGAAGGCAAGAAUCCUGUGAAGACAUUGAAAGACUUUAGAAAGCAUAG
Molecule: long non-coding RNA, 279 nt
Organism: Nothoprocta perdicaria
Lineage: Eukaryota; Metazoa; Chordata; Aves; Tinamiformes; Tinamidae
Exons: 3
Source: RefSeq, a predicted model, not a curated record